GGGUUGUGAGGUUAAGCGACUAAGCGUACACGGUGGAUGCCCUGGCAGUCAGAGGCGAUGAAGGACGUGCUAAUCUGCGAUAAGCGUCGGUAAGGUGAUAUGAACCGUUAUAACCGGCGAUUUCCGAAUGGGGAAACCCAGUGUGAUUCGUCACACUAUCAUUAACUGAAUUCAUAGGUUAAUGAGGCGAACCGGGGGAACUGAAACAUCUAAGUACCCCGAGGAAAAGAAAUCAACCGAGAUUCCCCCAGUAGCGGCGAGCGAACGGGGAGGAGCCCAGAGCCUGAAUCAGUGUGUGUGUUAGUGGAAGCGUCUGGAAAGGCGCGCGAUACAGGGUGACAGCCCCGUACACAAAAAUGCACAUGCUGUGAGCUCGAUGAGUAGGGCGGGACACGUGGUAUCCUGUCUGAAUAUGGGGGGACCAUCCUCCAAGGCUAAAUACUCCUGACUGACCGAUAGUGAACCAGUACCGUGAGGGAAAGGCGAAAAGAACCCCGGCGAGGGGAGUGAAAAAGAACCUGAAACCGUGUACGUACAAGCAGUGGGAGCCUCUUUAUGGGGUGACUGCGUACCUUUUGUAUAAUGGGUCAGCGACUUAUAUUCUGUAGCAAGGUUAACCGAAUAGGGGAGCCGAAGGGAAACCGAGUCUUAACUGGGCGUUAAGUUGCAGGGUAUAGACCCGAAACCCGGUGAUCUAGCCAUGGGCAGGUUGAAGGUUGGGUAACACUAACUGGAGGACCGAACCGACUAAUGUUGAAAAAUUAGCGGAUGACUUGUGGCUGGGGGUGAAAGGCCAAUCAAACCGGGAGAUAGCUGGUUCUCCCCGAAAGCUAUUUAGGUAGCGCCUCGUGAAUUCAUCUCCGGGGGUAGAGCACUGUUUCGGCAAGGGGGUCAUCCCGACUUACCAACCCGAUGCAAACUGCGAAUACCGGAGAAUGUUAUCACGGGAGACACACGGCGGGUGCUAACGUCCGUCGUGAAGAGGGAAACAACCCAGACCGCCAGCUAAGGUCCCAAAGUCAUGGUUAAGUGGGAAACGAUGUGGGAAGGCCCAGACAGCCAGGAUGUUGGCUUAGAAGCAGCCAUCAUUUAAAGAAAGCGUAAUAGCUCACUGGUCGAGUCGGCCUGCGCGGAAGAUGUAACGGGGCUAAACCAUGCACCGAAGCUGCGGCAGCGACGCUUAUGCGUUGUUGGGUAGGGGAGCGUUCUGUAAGCCUGCGAAGGUG
RNAcentral lists this ribosomal RNA (1226 nucleotides) under Escherichia coli. Its description in RNAcentral is "partial 23S ribosomal RNA". It matches the Rfam family "Bacterial large subunit ribosomal RNA", at positions 1 to 1258 of the family's 2925-position model. The record is from RNAcentral. Lineage: Bacteria; Pseudomonadati; Pseudomonadota; Gammaproteobacteria; Enterobacterales; Enterobacteriaceae.